UACGUAGGGGGCAAGCGUUGUUCGGAAUUACUGGGCGUAAAGGGCGCGUAGGCGGUUCGUUAAGUCCUGUGUGAAAUCCCCCGGCUCAACUGGGGAACUGCACAGGAAACUAGCGGGCUUGAGUUCGGGAGAGGGAAGCGGAAUUCCGGGUGUAGCGGUGAAAUGCGUAGAUAUCCGGAGGAACACCGGUGGCGAAGGCGGCAUCCUGGACCGGCAUUGACGCUGAGGCGCGAAAGCUAGGGGAGCAAACGGG
RNAcentral lists this ribosomal RNA (253 nucleotides) under uncultured bacterium. RNAcentral describes it as "partial 16S ribosomal RNA". It matches the Rfam family "Bacterial small subunit ribosomal RNA", at positions 524 to 776 of the family's 1533-position model. The record is from RNAcentral.